UCAAAUUUCCAUGAAAUUUGAAAUUCCAUCCCAAAAUUUUUCAAUUUCUCCUCUUUACAAAACUCCCGCUGCUUUCCAAAGACCUAGUUCAUUUUUCCGAUACGAUCUCUCUUCCAGAAUUCAUAAUCGGUUUCUUCUCUAAAACCAAUAUGAUUGUGCUUAGCCGCAAUCGACCUCCAAUCAACCGUUUCAUGUCAUUCGACCUCAGCAAUCAACCCAUCGGUGCUUAGCCGCAAUCGACCUCCAAUCAACCGUUUCAUGUCAUUCGACCUCAGCAAUCAACCCAUCGAUUUGAUUCUACUACAAAAAAUCAACCAUGUUCCAGGCGACCUCUUUGUUUGAAGUUGCACACCAAAUGCUCGAUGAAAUGCUUCACCCAGACUGUGAAGAUUUAGUAAAACGGAGAUAUCUUCUAAAACUCAAUUUGAAUUUUACAGCUCUGUUGAGAAAUUAUUGUGAUUUUAGGGUUCGGAAUCAAAGAAAAAUAAUUUUUAAAUAGGCUAAUUUCUGUUAAAACAUUUCUUUUAGGCUAUAGGGUGUGGUUGGAGCCCCAUGGGCUUUAUCAAGUCCACCUAAGCUCCACCUAGGAUCCAACUCAGCUAUGGAGCCCCCUUUAAUUUGCAUAGUGUGGAUGGAGCCCCAUAUUAAAGAAAAAAAAAGAUUACAUUGGUGCAAAACAAGUGGGUCCCACUUAUAGAGCCCCUUCCAGCCCGUUACCAUGGUAGCGAGCAUUGUAUAGCGCCGGGGGUGUGGAAGAUGGCCGGGGUGGGGCGCUAUAGUGUGCCAGCUGGGUUGGGUGGCGCCCCCACAGCCUCCAGCCUUAGUGUCGGUUGACAAAAUUCAUCAUGUUGUUUAAGGAGAUGGCCAUGUUGGAGGCACGACAUUAACUUGUUAAAGAACACCAUGUUGCAUUUCUCAAGGAUGAAGUGGAAGAAUGGAAAGCCACGAAAGGUAGUAAGGUUCUUUUUGAGACAACUAUUGUCUAAUGGUUUACAACAACCUCAUGUUCACAUAGGUUUGGGAAUUAAAUUUUAUCACAAAAUUGAGUCCUUUUUAUUGAUUGUGAUUUUAUAUUUUCAUUCCAACUAUUCAGCAUUCCUUAUCUUUUUAAUUCACAUUAGCAUCUUAUAAUUAGGUUUGAAAUUCACUGUUGAGUAUUUUUAAAUUUGCUUCCGAGAGACUGGAUAUUCUUCACAGAACCACCUUGAGCUAGGAGAGUUUUGGUGUGCUGUUAGUGGCUCGAGUGACGUGACUGAAACACAAUAAGAAAUUUCAAGACAAAGCAAUGUACACUAUGAAGGGAAGAAUAUUAAUGUUCAUGAUUUCAAAGUUUCUGGAUUUUUACAACCACAAUUGCAAGUGCUGGAGCUAAUGGAUCUGAUGUACAACUCUAACGAUAGCGACGGCCGGAUCUAGGAUGUUAGUUAAGACUAAUUCUUAUUAUUUAAUAUAUCUAAUAUUGUUUUACGAUUUAGAAUUAAUUAACUAAGUAUUGUUCAUUCAUAUGUUUGGAUCGGUUAUUGUUUUUGAUGCUUAUAAUUGAGUAUGCUAUUGCUAGUCGAAUACA
Helianthus annuus (common sunflower) is the source of this 1567-nucleotide long non-coding RNA. RefSeq lists it as uncharacterized. Lineage: Eukaryota; Viridiplantae; Streptophyta; Magnoliopsida; Asterales; Asteraceae. The record is from RefSeq and is a predicted model, not a curated record. The transcript has 5 exons.